CUUGGGCUACCGAAUGGCAGCAAGGUGGAAUCCGAUGUCAGCAUACCAAAGCCCAUCAAGAGGAAGCUCACGACGCGGAAUCUAAUAGUUCCCUACGUCGUUGCAGCCUAUCGUUGCGACGGUGAAAGUGGGAGAGCAAGAAUAGCACUCGCUUCGAAAGACGUCGAGAGGCCUUCCAAACUGCUAAGAGACUUGGAAGAUUUACUGAGACGUUUGGGAUACAAGUCCCUCAGAACAACGCCGUCGACAGUGUAUCAGACCGUUCAUGGUCUGCAUCGAAGAUGGGUUCUGAGCCUAGAAGACAAACAAGAGAAGCAACAAUUCAAGAAGAUGGUUCAAGAUUACAGCUCUAUCAGUCACCUGGACCUCCAGAGUUGACGGCAAGGCGAAAAGCCGGCCUGACAGGAAGUUUAAACGCAGAACUUUCUGCAACGAAAGUUUGGCCUAGCGAUCCUCCAAGUCCUCACUGUUGGGGGCUGGAGGUGACAGAAAAGUUACCCCAGGGGUAACAGGCUCGUCGCGGGCGAGAGCUCCAAUCGACCCCGCGGUUUGGUACCUCGGCCCAUUGUGGGCCUUGGGGCAGAAUCGUGGUAACGCGAUUGAAGUAUCCGCAGAAAAAUACGAGUAUCGGCUUAUAUCGGCGAAACCCGACCUCCUUUAACCAGGAGCCGCGGCAACGCGGUUUGAGGGAAGAGCGGGAGAGGGCAACGCCGAGGGAAGUCCAACGGGACUUCAGCACCCGAUCUGAUGGAAGUCAAAAUUUGGUGACGCCAUGAACGGCGUCCCAACAACAGCACACAUCUAGCUUGCAGGCAGGGCAGUCGACCGCGGAGGGCGCCUCUCGGCACUCUUCCGGGGAACAGCCGCAGUCUGCACAGCGCAUCGCGAGCUUCGUCGGCACGUCCGGCAAGCUCGACUUCGAGUCUAAUACGACUUUCAUCCGAUUGGAAACUACAGGUAGGUUCGGUCAGGCAUCAUCGCGGAUGGCAAGCGCGAGGUUUCAGGGUCGAAUCCGGCAGGCCUUAAUAGGACCGCGCCGGGUCAGACAAUCGCCUGGUCAGACGAUCAGGCGUCGGCUAAGCGACUCAUCAUCACGAUGCGGCCGCUCGGUCUGGUCUUGUCAUCAUCCCCGGCGCCGACGAAACAGCGUCGGGGAGCAUAUAGCGACCAACCUCGUUUUUGCCUAACAUCCCGGAUGCCACCGAAAAUCAGUCCAACGCAAGUUGGGCGGAGGUCCGGCCGUUCCGUUGUGACCCCGUAACGACUGAGCGCGCAGAAGUGUGCGUAAUGAGAUGGCCUCGCGGCUAGCUCGAGCAUCCCGCAAGGGACGCGUCAUGUUCCGACAUGGCGCGACAAGGGCGCAAGCCCCUCGGGUGUGCCAAACCGAAACGAGGCUAUCAUACGCCGACCCCACGAGUGCUCGUGGGUGAAGACAUAGUCUAACUCCGGGCGUAAGCCUGGGUAAAGUUGCGAUGUCGGCUCUUCCCAUCCUGGUCCUGCAGCAGGGGCCAAGGGUGGGGCUGCUCGCCCAUCAAAGGGGAACGUGAGCUGGGUUUAGACCGUCGUGAGACAGGUCGGCCUCUACCUGAUGGAAGCGGUGGUUCACUGAGGGGAAGCCCUGCCCAGUACGAGAGGAACAGCGGGGCGUUGCCUCUGGCGUACCGGUCGUCCGAGAGGGCGUCGCCGGGCAGCUAAGCAAUCGUGGAUAACCGCUGAAAGCAUCUAAGCGGGAAGCCACUCCCGAGAAGAGUGAGCCUUAGGCCUUAACCCCUGCAGCAAUGUGGGGGAGCGGGCCUUGGAGGGGAGCGAUAGAAGAUCGCGUUGAAGUGGUGGGGGUGUACGCUGGAAGCUUCGGCGACCAGUUCAGCCCGUCCACUAACUAUACCCCAACGCAGGAUGAGU
This 1902-nucleotide ribosomal RNA is filed under the name Nitrososphaerota archaeon. Its description in RNAcentral is "partial 23S ribosomal RNA". It matches the Rfam family "Archaeal large subunit ribosomal RNA", at positions 2187 to 2987 of the family's 2987-position model. The record is from RNAcentral. Lineage: Archaea; Thermoproteati; Nitrososphaerota.